Molecule: long non-coding RNA, 384 nt
Organism: Fukomys damarensis (Damara mole-rat)
Lineage: Eukaryota; Metazoa; Chordata; Mammalia; Rodentia; Bathyergidae
Exons: 3
Source: RefSeq, a predicted model, not a curated record
GAGCUCACAGAAAGAGUUUUCCUGGAGCCCCAUGGGGAGACUUUGGACAUGGAAUUUUGCACAACAGUUGAACUAGUGUAGCCCAGGCGGUCAGGAGGCCUCUAUUAGCCCCAAAAGCGACUCAGACACUUGAGAUGGAAAGACAUCUACCAGUAACUGGAAUGAACACUGAACCACACAGGGUGAAGACACAAAGAGAAGUAGUGGAAGGCCCCUUUCUCAAACCUGAGCCACACACAAGCUAGAAGGAGAAACGCUGUCAGCAUGAGCCAGAGCAGGACCAAGAGAGUGUGGGACAUUCUAUGACCUGAACUGAAGACCUGGCCAGCCUGGGACAUGGGUGAAGAGAGAGACCUCAGGUCUAUCCCAGGAAUCUCCAGAGGU